This 59-nucleotide non-coding RNA is filed under the name unclassified sequences. The record is from RNAcentral.
ACUGAUGGGUAGGGGUGAGUACUCCCCCUAUUAAAGUACAUUACAGGUCCAAAGUCCUG